AACGAACGCUGGCGGCAUGCCUAACACAUGCAAGUCGAACGAGACCUUCGGGUCUAGUGGCGUACGGGUGCGUAACGCGUGGGAACCUGCCCUUAGGUUCGGAAUAACUCCCCGAAAGGGGUGCUAAUACCGGAUAAUGUCUUCGGACCAAAGAUUUAUCGCCUUUGGAUGGGCCCGCGUUGGAUUAGCUAGUUGGUAGGGUAAAAGCCUACCAAGGCGACGAUCCAUAGCUGGUCUGAGAGGAUGAUCAGCCACACUGGGACUGAGACACGGCCCAGACUCCUACGGGAGGCAGCAGUGGGGAAUAUUGGACGAUGGGCGAAAGCCUGAUCCAGCAAUGCCGCGUGAGUGAUGAAGGCCUUAGGGUUGUAAAGCUCUUUUACCCGGGAUGAUAAUGACAGUACCGGGAGAAUAAGCUCCGGCUAACUCCGUG
Molecule: ribosomal RNA, 433 nt
Filed under: uncultured bacterium
Lineage: Bacteria
Description: partial 16S ribosomal RNA
Rfam family: Bacterial small subunit ribosomal RNA
Source: RNAcentral